Molecule: ribosomal RNA, 781 nt
Filed under: Merizodus soledadinus
Lineage: Eukaryota; Metazoa; Arthropoda; Insecta; Coleoptera; Carabidae
Description: partial 16S ribosomal RNA
Rfam family: Bacterial large subunit ribosomal RNA (bases 391-549)
Source: RNAcentral
GUCUUUUUGUAUUUUAUUUAAAGUCUAGCCUGCCCACUGAAAUUAUUUUAAAUGGCCGCAGUAAUUUGACUGUGCAAAGGUAGCAUAAUAAUUAGUUUUUUAAUUAAGAGCUAGUAUGAAAGGUUGGACGAAGUAAAUUCUGUCUCUAUUUAAUUUAAAUUAGAAUUUAAUUUUUAAGUUAAAAAGCUUAAAUGUUUAUAAAAGACGAGAAGACCCUAUAGAGCUUUAUAUUUUUAAUAAUAUAAUUAUAUUAAGAUUUAAUUAUUUUUUAUUAUUAAAAUUAUUUUAUUGGGGUAAUAGAAAGAUUUAAAUAAUUCUUUUUUAUUAUUUAUAUUUAUUUAUAGAAUUAUUGAUCCAAUUUUAUUGAUUAUAAGAUUAAGUUACCUUAGGGAUAACAGCGUAAUUUUUUUGAAGAGUUCUUAUCGAUAAAAAAGUUUGCGACCUCGAUGUUGGAUUAAAGAUUAUUUUUGGUGUAGAAGUUAAAAAUUUUGGUCUGUUCGACCAUUGAAUCUUUACAUGAUCUGAGUUCAGACCGGUGUAAGCCAGGUCGGUUUCUAUCUUUAUUUUUGUAUAAUAUUUUAGUACGAAAGGACCAAAUAUUAAAUAUAUUAAUAUUUAUAUAUUGAAUAUUAUUAAUUAUUUUGGCAGAUUAGUGUAAUGAAUUUAGAAUUCAUAUAUGUAAUUUUUAUUACAAAUAAUACUUGUUUUAUAUAGAUAUAAUUUUUUCUAUUGUUUGUUUAUUAUUGUUAGUNAUUUGUGUAUUAGUAGGAGUUGCUUUUUU